Molecule: non-coding RNA, 3187 nt
Organism: Microcebus murinus (gray mouse lemur)
Lineage: Eukaryota; Metazoa; Chordata; Mammalia; Primates; Cheirogaleidae
Source: RefSeq, a predicted model, not a curated record
AACCUGCACGAGCACGUCUGCCAACGGGGCUGCGGGCGAGUGUGGGCUGGGGUCGCUGCACCGCUCGUGGGCAGGAGGAAGGACCCAGCCUCGACCCUUCAGUCCUCGACAGACAAAGGCUCCUCUGGCGUCCUGGCUGCGGUUAGCGGAAGUCCAGCUUGUAGCGCCCGCUCAGGCUCGGGGCGCAGCUCCCGGUGACCCACAGAGCCCUGCGUGGCCUUUGUGAGGUCAUCUUUUCUGCGACAAGGGAGCUUCCGGCUGUUGUCCAAGCGUCCUCACUGUGGUUCUGGGCUGGCCUCGGGAGGCCCGUACGCAGCGCAGCACGCCGGGGCCAGUCCCUGCGGCAGCGGUUUGGAGCGUGCGGGUGACGCUCUUCAGCACCUGGGCAGACCUGUGCUUUGUUCUUCCAUUUAUUUCACACCAUUUCUGCUAGAACCAGAAGUGUUCGCUGCCUCAAAAACAGUUGUUAGACGUGAAAGUCGGAGUAAAGGCUUUGGGGUCAAAGGCUUAGUUUUCUGGAUGCUGGGGCCCGGAGGCAGAAGGAACGUCGCAUAUCGGCCAUGGAUUUGGAAGGACAGGUCGCAUCAGAGCAGUUGCUAAAGAACCCCCAGGGAGGACGAGGGGGAGAGGAGAGGUGUGAGGGGCGCAGACACGGGGGACCCAGGGGAGCGGGGAGUGCAGGGAGGAGAAAGGCUGUAGGGUGUGAGUAGCACACGGGCUGGGCCGGCUGGAGGGUCUCCUGCUCCCCAGUGGGGUCCCGCAGGCCAGAUCUGGGGGCCCGAGCCCUCUCCCCUGCCUUCCUCAGUCAGGAAGGCCCUGGCCUCGAUGGAGGUCAGCCUCUCCCUCUGGGCACAGGACGUGGAGGGACAGCCCACCUGUGGCGGAUACCAGGCAGGAGCUGCAGGGGCCUCAGGGGACACCUGGAGGGAAGAGGACCGUAGUGACCUGGCUUAUGUGGAUUAAGUUCCUGCCACGCAGUGGAGAAGACAGAAAUUGGGUAGGUCACAGGAAACACACAUUUGUAGUAUUUGUCUAUGUUAUAAUAGGAUUCCAUUUAAAAAUCUGCCACAUUCCUGAAAACCUACCACUCCCCUGUGAAUCAAGUGGUACCACGCUUAUCGGAAGGUCUUUGGCAGGGCGAAAAGAUCUGCGUGCUAGUCUCAGCUCCACAUGGAUUAUGAGGACUUCAAAGUUCAUUUAAUUGAGAUUAAUUCACACAUGGGACCUUAUAGCUGUUAUGAGUUCAGAUUCUCCAUCGGCUUCCUGGAGAUGGAAGUGAUCCUGCAGCUUCGCAGGAGCCCUCUGGGGACUUGCAGCUCCAGGCAGAUGUUGGGCCUGUGUUUCCUCCCUUGCUUCCCACAAAACACUGAGAUACAGAGAUUGGAAUGGAAGAAGAUCUGAGGGGGCAGCUCGGAGGUGGCACUGGGACCUGGUGGGGGCCUCUCUGGCCCAGGCACUGAGCAGGGGUGCCUCCAAAGGGCAGUGGCGUCCCCUCCUUGGCUGGGGUCAGCAAAAGAACAUUCUACAGAGGCUGUGUUCGCAUUUACGGAGGCCCCCGAAGACCUGAGACCAAAUGGAUGGAGUCACACGCCCAGGCAGAGAAGUUAGAACCAGUGAACAUUAAUUUUGGAGAAAGGUCUUAAAGUGGAGUAAGAAUUGAGGUGAUGGCAAAGAAGUUUCUCAACAUGCUCAUGUGAAAGGGCAAACUACGCCGAUCGCCACAGCUUGUGCACAAACGGGCCACCUCGCCCCCAUCUCCGACCUCGCCCCCAUCUCUGACCAGGGACCUGGGGCCACAUCGCCCAUCUCUGACCUCAGACCUGGGGCCACCUCAGACCCUGCCCUUGACCUCGGACCCGGGGCCACCUCAACCCCCGCCCUUGAUCUCAGACUGGGGGCCACCUCGCCCUCUGCCCUUGAUCUCAGACUGGGGGCCACCUCGCCCUCUGCCCUUGAUAGACUGGGGGCCACCUCGCCCCCUGCCCUUGACCUCGGACCGGGGGCCCUGUCGCCCCCUGCCUUUGACCUCAGACCUGGGGCUACCUCGCCACCCUCCCUUGACCUUGGAUUUGCGGACACCUAACCCACAGUCCUUGACCUCCAACCAGGGACCACCUCGCCCCCCGCCCUUGAUGUCGGACCUGGGGCCACCUCACCCCUGGUCCUUGACCUUGGACCUGAAGCCACCUCGCCCCCCGCCCUUGACCCCGGACCUGCAGACACCCCGCCCCCUGCCCUUGACCUCGGAACUGGGGCCACCAUGCCCCCCUCCCUUGACCUCAGACCGGGGGCCACCACGCUCCCCACCCAUGACCUCAGACCGGGGGCCACCUCGCCCCCUGCCCUUGAUCUCGGACUGGGGGCCACCUUGCCCCCCACCCUUGACCUUGGACCUGAAGCCACCUCGGACCUGGAGCCACCUCGCCCCCCACCCUUGACCUCGGACCUGGGGCCACCUUGCCUCCCACCCUUGACCUGCGGACACCCCGCCCCUGGCCCUUGACCUCGGAACUGGGGCCACCUCGCCCACAGCCCUUGAGCUCGGACCUGUGGACACCCCGCCCACGGCCCUUGACCUCAGAACUGGGGCCACCUUGCCCACAGCCCUUGACCUUGGAUCUGUGGACAACCCGCCCACAGCCCUUGACCUCAGAACUGGGGCCACCUUGCCCACAGCCCUUGACCUCGGACCUUUGGACACCCCGCCCCCGGCCCCUGACCUCAGAACUGGGGCUACUUCACCCAUAGCCCUUGACCUCGGACCUGUGGACACCCCGCCCAUGGCCCUUGACCUCGGACCUGGGGCCACCUCGCCCUCCCACCCUUAACCUCGGAUCUGGUGCCACCUUGCCCCCCACCCUUGACCUGGGACCUGGGGCAACCUUGCCCUCCGCCCUUGACCUUGGCCCAGGGGCCACCUUGCCCCCUGCCCUUCACCUGGGACCUGGGGCCACUUCGUCCCCUGCCCUUGACUUCGGACCUGGGGCCACCUCGUCCCCUGCCCUUGAGCUGGGAAGUGGCACCCGCACCUAGUACUUGGUGAGUGUCCCCCACGAAGAUGAAGUGGAGCUCAUCCCAUCUGCACUCAGUUCAGACCUGGCAGAACAUUCCGGAGUCCCUUCCUGCUGCCCUCUCUGCCUGACUCCUUUUGCUCUGCAGACCUCCAUCCUGGACCCUCUCUCCUCUG